This 259-nucleotide long non-coding RNA is filed under the name Vitis vinifera (wine grape). RNAcentral's name for it is "long non-coding RNA (VVIN_LNC006360)". The record is from RNAcentral. Lineage: Eukaryota; Viridiplantae; Streptophyta; Magnoliopsida; Vitales; Vitaceae.
UGGGCAUAAACAGUGAUGGUGAUCAAGCGUGAGCUCCAGAAGUCUCAAGAGCACUGCAAGCAGGACAUGUUUUGGCAGGGAGUAAAGCAUCAAGGAUAAGCACCAAGAGGGGGGAUGGGGGGUUUUUGAAUGUCAUUCAUUUCCCACGCCCCAAACAAUGAAGAAAAACUCUAGAGGAUGGGGCUCAUGGGUUUCACCCCUCACUCCAAAACUUGUGAAUGGUCCCACCAUUAGCCUCUCUGGUCCCUCUCCCACUGUC